This 259-nucleotide long non-coding RNA is filed under the name Trifolium pratense (red clover). Its description in RNAcentral is "long non-coding RNA (TPRA_LNC005031)". The record is from RNAcentral. Lineage: Eukaryota; Viridiplantae; Streptophyta; Magnoliopsida; Fabales; Fabaceae.
AUGUGUAGGAAAUAAUUGCAAAAUCGUGUCACUAUGAAGCUUGUGUAGUGGCGCGAUAAAUACAGUAGCUGCAUGCUUGGAUUGAUUCAAGAACUUCACAAUUUUUCCUAAGUCUUUUUCUCUUUUGUCUUUAAUCUUCAAACUCUUUGACAUGUUAAUUUCUUCAUAAAUUCUUCUCUUUGACUAUGCAAUUCUACUAAAAACUAACUAAAAUACUUAAAAUAAUAAUGAAAAGUACUCAAAUGACCGAAUGUCAUCA